This 372-nucleotide transfer-messenger RNA is filed under the name Helicobacteraceae. Its description in RNAcentral is "Helicobacter_F sp003364115 Standard tmRNA". It matches the Rfam family "transfer-messenger RNA". Rfam says of the family: Bacterial tmRNA, also known as 10Sa RNA or SsrA, is named for its dual tRNA and mRNA-like properties. Its role is to liberate the mRNA from a stalled ribosome. The record is from RNAcentral. RNAcentral also lists the same sequence under 2 other names. Lineage: Bacteria; Pseudomonadati; Campylobacterota; Epsilonproteobacteria; Campylobacterales.
GGGGUUGAAAAGAAUUUCGACAGGAGUCAAAAAAGCUAAGUGCAUGUGAGCUGGCAUGCUCUAAAACUGCCAUUUUUAAAAUUAAACGCAAACAAUACAAAUUACGCUCCAGCUUAUGCAAAAGUAGCAUAAGUUUAACUACUCUUUAGGAGCCGACUAAGAUAGAAUUCCUAGCGUUUUAUCAUUAGUCGUAACGCGGCUAGGUGCUUGGCUGUAUCACCUCGCACAGACAAAAAGACAAAUGAGGUUGCUUAUUUAGCGGAGUUUGGAGAUUUGCUUGCUAGAUAAAAAGACUAAAAAUCUUGUCUAAACAUGUAGAUUCUUAGGGGAUUUGAUUUUUGGACUGGGGUUUGAUUCCCCACAACUCCACCA